Molecule: ribosomal RNA, 508 nt
Filed under: uncultured bacterium
Lineage: Bacteria
Description: partial 16S ribosomal RNA
Rfam family: Bacterial small subunit ribosomal RNA
Source: RNAcentral
GAUGAAUGCUGGCGGCGUGCCUUACACAUGCAAGUCGAACGGCAGCGGGGGAGAAGCUUGCUUUUCCUGCCGGCGAGUGGCGAACGGGUGAGUAAUACAUCGGAACGUGCCCUGUAGCGGGGGAUAACUAGUCGAAAGAUUAGCUAAUACCGCAUACGACCUGAGGGUGAAAGUGGGGGACCGCAAGGCCUCAUGCUAUAGGAGCGGCCGAUGUCUGAUUAGCUGGUUGGUGGGGGAAAGGCCUACCAAGGCGACGAUCAGUAGCUGGUCUGAGAGGACGAUCAGCCAAACUGGGACUGAGCCACGGCCCAGACUCCUACGGGAGGCAGCAGUGGGGAAUUUUGGACAAUGGGCGAAAGCCUGAUCCAGCAAUGCCGCGUGUGUGAAGAAGGCCUUCGGGUUGUAAAGCACUUUUGUCCGGAAAGAAAUGGCUCUGGUUAAUACCUGGGGUCGAUGACGGUACCGGAAGAAUAAGGACCGGCUAACUACGUGCCAGCAGCCGCCGUAA